Molecule: non-coding RNA, 113 nt
Organism: Picea glauca (white spruce)
Lineage: Eukaryota; Viridiplantae; Streptophyta; Pinopsida; Pinales; Pinaceae
Source: Rfam
UGAUUCCUACAAUGUUAAUGCACAUGAUAUCAUAGGAACUCCGCAGUGAAGCACACUUUGGCUAGAGUAGUAGUUGGAUGGGUGACCCCCGAGAAGUAUGCCUAUGGAAUUUU